CAGCUGGUGUCAUUCCGCAGUAACGCGCUCUCUCUCCCUGAAGGCCAAUCGGUGACUUUGGGGUUCUUUAGCUCCCCCAUUACAGACAUGCGGGGACCUCUGUGGCUGUUUCUCUGCGCGCUGCCGCUGUUCCCAGGUUCGGUGGCUGGGAACUCGCUGACCCAGAUCCCGGCUUCUCUGUCAGCCACGGAAGGGCAGCGGGUGGAGAUAAGGUGUCGAUACAGCACCUCCUACAGCAGCUACGCCCUGGACUGGUACCAGGAGCGGCCGGGGAAGGAACCCGUCUUCCUGCUGGGCAGAAACUCCUACGGCUCGGAGCGCAAAUCCAGUUCGGUGGCCCCUCGAUUCUCCGCGCAGCUGGACACCCGAGCGAAGUCUCUCACGCUGUCCAUAGACGGGGCGCAGCGGGCUGACUCGGCGGUGUAUUUCUGCGCUCUCUGGGAUCCACUGUGCUACAGAGCGCCCCGGGCUCCCGACACAAACUGCCGGAGGGGGCGGCAGGUGUCUGAAAGGCGGUGAAGUGUAAUUCGAGUUCUCAGCCCCAGUAGACACGUUAGGAGGCACACUUCAGACCUCCUGGAAAAACAAAGGUACAUUUUGGAGGACGUAGGCUCGCCAGAGGAGAUGAGACGCUUUGCCGUCGGAGUAGCUACGACACACAGAAGAAGCAACGCAACCUGAAUUUUAGAGAUAGGCGGCUGCGGCGCAGACGCGCUGAGUGACUUGGCCUCGGUGACACAGAGAAACGGCUUGAGGGCAGAGGAACUGGGUUGGGAAGGACGUGUCUCGGUUAUAUUAGCGUCUCUGCAAUAGUCCUGGGAGCUCCUCCAGAGAAGGAGGAUGAGUCAUGUAAUGUUACCUUAACUUGGAGACAUAAAGAAGUUGAUCAUUAUUUAUAAUUAAGGUAAUGCUAAAAUUAUCUAA
Molecule: non-coding RNA, 924 nt
Organism: Chelonia mydas (Green sea turtle)
Lineage: Eukaryota; Metazoa; Chordata; Testudines; Cheloniidae
Source: the annotation of a RefSeq genome assembly